This 157-nucleotide small nuclear RNA is filed under the name Canis lupus familiaris (dog). RNAcentral's name for it is "U4 spliceosomal RNA (ENSCAFG00000049271.2, ENSCAFG00040012890.1, ENSCAFG00845020913.1)". The stretch from base 1 to 67 matches the Rfam family "U4 spliceosomal RNA". Lineage: Eukaryota; Metazoa; Chordata; Mammalia; Carnivora; Canidae. The record is from RNAcentral.
AGCUUUGCGCAGUGGCAGUAUCGUAGCCAAUGAGGUUUAUCCGAGGCGCGAUUAUUGCUAUUUGAGAGAAAGAGAGAGAAAGAGCAGGAGUUGGGGGGCGGGGGGUGGGGAGAGGCAGGAACCUUGAUGCAAGGCUUAAUCCUUGGAUCCUGGGAUC